RNAcentral lists this unclassified non-coding RNA (495 nucleotides) under Gibellulopsis serrae. RNAcentral's name for it is "Cephalosporium serrae sequence contains 18S rRNA gene, ITS1, 5.8S rRNA gene, ITS2". The stretch from base 171 to 324 matches the Rfam family "5.8S ribosomal RNA". Lineage: Eukaryota; Fungi; Ascomycota; Sordariomycetes; Glomerellales; Plectosphaerellaceae. RNAcentral also lists the same sequence under 1 other name. The record is from RNAcentral.
CGUUGGUGAACCAGCGGAGGGAUCAUUACCGAGUACUAUAACUCAUAACCCUUUGUGAACCUUCAUACCUGUUGCUUCGGCGGCGCGCCUCUCGGGGCGUGCCCGCCGGCAUUAUCAGAAUCUCUGUUCGAACCCGACGAUACUUCUGAGUGUUCUAAGCGAACUGUUAAAACUUUCAACAACGGAUCUCUUGGCUCCAGCAUCGAUGAAGAACGCAGCGAAACGCGAUAUGUAAUGUGAAUUGCAGAAUUCAGUGAAUCAUCGAAUCUUUGAACGCACAUGGCGCCUUCCAGUAUCCUGGGAGGCAUGCCUGUCCGAGCGUCGUUUCAACCCUCGAGCCCCCGUGGCCCGGCGUUGGGGACCUGCCCAGGCAGUCCCCGAAAACCAGUGGCGGACCCGACGGGCCCUUCCUUUGCGUAGUAACAUCUGCCUCGCAUCGGGAGCCCCCGGGCUAUCCGGCCUCUAAACCCCCCUCAAGCCCGCUCCGGCGGCACC